RNAcentral lists this ribosomal RNA (250 nucleotides) under uncultured prokaryote. Its description in RNAcentral is "partial 16S ribosomal RNA". It matches the Rfam family "Bacterial small subunit ribosomal RNA", at positions 524 to 774 of the family's 1533-position model. The record is from RNAcentral.
UACGUAGGGGGCGAGCGUUAUCCGGAAUUAUUGGGCGUAAAGAGUACGUAGGUGGUUUUGUAAGCGCAAGGUGAAAGCCCGGGGCUUAACUCCGGCGAGCCUUGUGAACUGCAAGACUUGAGUGCAGGAGGGGAAAGUGGAAUUCCUAGUGUAGCGGUGAAAUGCGUAGAUAUUAGGAGGAACACCGGUGGCGAAGGCGACUUUCUGGACUGUAACUGACACUGAGGUACGAAAGUGUGGGGAGCAAACA